GGGUUGUGAGGUUAAGCGACUAAGCGUACACGGUGGAUGCCCUGGCAGUCAGAGGCGAUGAAGGACGUGCUAAUCUGCGAUAAGCGUCGGUAAGGUGAUAUGAACCGUUAUAACCGGCGAUUUCCGAAUGGGGAAACCCAGUGUGUUUCGACACACUAUCAUUAACUGAAUCCAUAGGUUAAUGAGGCGAACCGGGGGAACUGAAACAUCUAAGUACCCCGAGGAAAAGAAAUCAACCGAGAUUCCCCCAGUAGCGGCGAGCGAACGGGGAGCAGCCCAGAGCCUGAAUCAGUGUGUGUGUUAGUGGAAGCGUCUGGAAAGGCGCGCGAUACAGGGUGACAGCCCCGUACACAAAAAUGCACAUGCUGUGAGCUCGAUGAGUAGGGCGGGACACGUGGUAUCCUGUCUGAAUAUGGGGGGACCAUCCUCCAAGGCUAAAUACUCCUGACUGACCGAUAGUGAACCAGUACCGUGAGGGAAAGGCGAAAAGAACCCCGGCGAGGGGAGUGAAAAAGAACCUGAAACCGUGUACGUACAAGCAGUGGGAGCACGCUUCGGCGUGUGACUGCGUACCUUUUGUAUAAUGGGUCAGCGACUUAUAUUCUGUAGCAAGGUUAACCGAAUAGGGGAGCCGAAGGGAAACCGAGUCUUAACUGGGCGUUAAGUUGCAGGGUAUAGACCCGAAACCCGGUGAUCUAGCCAUGGGCAGGUUGAAGGUUGGGUAACACUAACUGGAGGACCGAACCGACUAAUGUUGAAAAAUUAGCGGAUGACUUGUGGCUGGGGGUGAAAGGCCAAUCAAACCGGGAGAUAGCUGGUUCUCCCCGAAAGCUAUUUAGGUAGCGCCUCGUGAAUUCAUCUCCGGGGGUAGAGCACUGUUUCGGCAAGGGGGUCAUCCCGACUUACCAACCCGAUGCAAACUGCGAAUACCGGAGAAUGUUAUCACGGGAGACACACGGCGGGUGCUAACGUCCGUCGUGAAGAGGGAAACAACCCAGACCGCCAGCUAAGGUCCCAAAGUCAUGGUUAAGUGGGAAACGAUGUGGGAAGGCCCAGACAGCCAGGAUGUUGGCUUAGAAGCAGCCAUCAUUUAAAGAAAGCGUAAUAGCUCACUGGUCGAGUCGGCCUGCGCGGAAGAUGUAACGGGGCUAAACCAUGCACCGAAGCUGCGGCAGCGACACUGUGUGUUGUUGGGUAGGGGAGCGUUCUGUAAGCCUGUGAAGGUGUACUGUGAGGUAUGCUGGAGGUAUCAGAAGUGCGAAUGCUGACAUAAGUAACGAUAAAGCGGGUGAAAAGCCCGCUCGCCGGAAGACCAAGGGUUCCUGUCCAACGUUAAUCGGGGCAGGGUGAGUCGACCCCUAAGGCGAGGCCGAAAGGCGUAGUCGAUGGGAAACAGGUUAAUAUUCCUGUACUUGGUGUUACUGCGAAGGGGGGACGGAGAAGGCUAUGUUGGCCGGGCGACGGUUGUCCCGGUUUAAGCGUGUAGGCUGGUUUUCCAGGCAAAUCCGGAAAAUCAAGGCUGAGGCGUGAUGACGAGGCACUACGGUGCUGAAGCAACAAAUGCCCUGCUUCCAGGAAAAGCCUCUAAGCAUCAGGUAACAUCAAAUCGUACCCCAAACCGACACAGGUGGUCAGGUAGAGAAUACCAAGGCGCUUGAGAGAACUCGGGUGAAGGAACUAGGCAAAAUGGUGCCGUAACUUCGGGAGAAGGCACGCUGAUAUGUAGGUGAAGUCCCUCGCGGAUGGAGCUGAAAUCAGUCGAAGAUACCAGCUGGCUGCAACUGUUUAUUAAAAACACAGCACUGUGCAAACACGAAAGUGGACGUAUACGGUGUGACGCCUGCCCGGUGCCGGAAGGUUAAUUGAUGGGGUUAGCGGUAACGCGAAGCUCUUGAUCGAAGCCCCGGUAAACGGCGGCCGUAACUAUAACGGUCCUAAGGUAGCGAAAUUCCUUGUCGGGUAAGUUCCGACCUGCACGAAUGGCGUAAUGAUGGCCAGGCUGUCUCCACCCGAGACUCAGUGAAAUUGAACUCGCUGUGAAGAUGCAGUGUACCCGCGGCAAGACGGAAAGACCCCGUGAACCUUUACUAUAGCUUGACACUGAACAUUGAGCCUUGAUGUGUAGGAUAGGUGGGAGGCUUUGAAGUGUGGACGCCAGUCUGCAUGGAGCCGACCUUGAAAUACCACCCUUUAAUGUUUGAUGUUCUAACGUUGACCCGUAAUCCGGGUUGCGGACAGUGUCUGGUGGGUAGUUUGACUGGGGCGGUCUCCUCCUAAAGAGUAACGGAGGAGCACGAAGGUUGGCUAAUCCUGGUCGGACAUCAGGAGGUUAGUGCAAUGGCAUAAGCCAGCUUGACUGCGAGCGUGACGGCGCGAGCAGGUGCGAAAGCAGGUCAUAGUGAUCCGGUGGUUCUGAAUGGAAGGGCCAUCGCUCAACGGAUAAAAGGUACUCCGGGGAUAACAGGCUGAUACCGCCCAAGAGUUCAUAUCGACGGCGGUGUUUGGCACCUCGAUGUCGGCUCAUCACAUCCUGGGGCUGAAGUAGGUCCCAAGGGUAUGGCUGUUCGCCAUUUAAAGUGGUACGCGAGCUGGGUUUAGAACGUCGUGAGACAGUUCGGUCCCUAUCUGCCGUGGGCGCUGGAGAACUGAGGGGGGCUGCUCCUAGUACGAGAGGACCGGAGUGGACGCAUCACUGGUGUUCGGGUUGUCAUGCCAAUGGCACUGCCCGGUAGCUAAAUGCGGAAGAGAUAAGUGCUGAAAGCAUCUAAGCACGAAACUUGCCCCGAGAUGAGUUCUCCCUGACCCUUUAAGGGUCCUGAAGGAACGUUGAAGACGACGACGUUGAUAGGCCGGGUGUGUAAGCGCAGCGAUGCGUUGAGCUAACCGGUACUAAUGAACCGUGAGGCUUAACCUUACAACGCCGAAG
RNAcentral lists this ribosomal RNA (2926 nucleotides) under Escherichia coli. Its description in RNAcentral is "23S ribosomal RNA". It matches the Rfam family "Bacterial large subunit ribosomal RNA". Lineage: Bacteria; Pseudomonadati; Pseudomonadota; Gammaproteobacteria; Enterobacterales; Enterobacteriaceae. The record is from RNAcentral.